AGCCAGAGGGCUUGGCCUCUCCCAGAGACGGUCCCUGCCUAAUGGCCGGCUUCAUCCAAGGUGGGGGAGCGGCAGGCUGGGAGCGUGGAUGAAAGAAAAAGGAAGCCCAAUGUGGCAGGCAUUCCCUCUCUGCUGCCUGGCUGCUCUGUCCCCUCACAUCCACCUCCUGCCCUGUCACCCCAGACCUGCAGCGAUGGGACAGUUGAUCGUGGAAGGAAUCGGUGAGCCCAAGCAGAUCUUCCCUCCUUCAAACCUUUUCAGGGUACCCUCAUCACUUACCAGUUUCUCUGUGCCCUGUGGGAACAGGAGAAGUUGGAAGUGCAGCCACCUAUAAUCAGAAUGGACAUCUAUGCCUGAGUGGGGCCCAUUCCUUGUGGGGCGGGUCAGAGGGUCUAGGUCAGCCCCAGGAAAGAUCAGGGCCCCUGCGUGCUCACGUGUGCGCAAUGUACUGUAGUAUAUAUACAAGUAUACACGUGUAUAGGCGAGUGGGGGUGUCACCUGCCCAUAUAUGUGUAUGUGAAGGCCAGGGGUCAAUGUUGGUUGUCUUUCUCACUUGCUUGUCACUGGGGAGAUUGGCUGUCUAAUAAAAAGCACCCAGAAUCUU
RNAcentral lists this long non-coding RNA (604 nucleotides) under Rattus norvegicus (Norway rat). RNAcentral's name for it is "long non-coding RNA NONRATT005904". The record is from RNAcentral. Lineage: Eukaryota; Metazoa; Chordata; Mammalia; Rodentia; Muridae.